GGAUGAACGCUGGCGGCGUGCCUACUCCAUGCAAGUCGAGCGAACAGACGAGGAGCUUGCUCCUCUGACGUUAGCGGCGGACGGGUGAGUACCACGUGGAUAACCUACCUAUAUGACUGGGAUAACUUCGGGAAACCGGUGCUACUACCGGAUAAUAUAUUGAACCGCAUGGUUCAAUAGUGAAAGACGGUUUUGCUGUCACUUAUAGAUGGAUCCGCGCCGCAUUAGCUAGUUGGUAAGGUAACGGCUUACCCAGGCAACGAGGCGUAGCCGACCUGAGGGGGGGGUCGGCCACACUGGAACGGGAACGCGGUCCAGACGCCUGCGGGAGGCAGCAGUAGGGAAUCGUCCGCAAUGGGCGAAAGCCUGACGGAGCAACGCCGCGUGAGUGAUGAAGGUCUUCGGAUCGUAAAACUCUGUUAUGAGGGAAGAACAAAUGUGUAAGUAACUAUGCACGUCUUGACGGUACCUAAUCAGAAAGCCACGGCUAACUACGUG
This 498-nucleotide ribosomal RNA is filed under the name uncultured bacterium. RNAcentral's name for it is "partial 16S ribosomal RNA". It matches the Rfam family "Bacterial small subunit ribosomal RNA", at positions 27 to 507 of the family's 1533-position model. The record is from RNAcentral.